Molecule: ribosomal RNA, 465 nt
Filed under: uncultured bacterium
Lineage: Bacteria
Description: partial 16S ribosomal RNA
Rfam family: Bacterial small subunit ribosomal RNA
Source: RNAcentral
CCUACGGGGGGCAGCAGUGGGGAAUAUUGCGCAAUGGGCGAAAGCCUGACGCAGCGACGCCGCGUGAGGGAUGAAGGUCCUCGGAUCGUUAACCUCUGUCAGCAGGGAAGAACGGUCACUGUGCUAAUCAGCAGUGAAUUGACGGUACCUGCAAAGGAAGCACCGGCUAACUCCGUGCCAGCAGCCGCGGUAAUACGGAGGGUGCGUGCGUUAAUCGGAAUUACUGGGAGUAAAGCGCUCGUAGGCGGUAUGUCAAGUCAAGGGUGAAAUCCCCGCGCUCAACGUGGGAACUGCCUUUGAAACUGGGAAACUGGAGUGUGUGAGAGGAUAGGGGAAUUCCAGGUGUAGGAGUGAAAUCCGUAGAUAACUGGAGGAACAUCAGUGGCGAAGGCGACUAUCUGGCACAUAACUGACGCUGAGGAGCGAAAGCGUGGGUAGCAAACAGGAUUAGAUACCCCAGUAGUC